GAAUGAACUUGGUGUGGUUGUUGCUGGCCCUCUCGGGGGCAUGUGCACACCCACCAUCCUCAUCUCUCCACCUGUGCACCUCUUGUAGACCUGGAUAGACUUUCCGAGGCAACUCGGUCGGGAAGAUUGCUGCUCUCUCGUGGGCCAGCUUUCUUUGCAUGUCCAGGCCUAUGUUUUUCAUAUACCCCUAUAGAAUGUAACAGAAUGUAUCAUUGGGCCUUGUGCCUAUAAACCUUAUACAACUUUCAGCAACGGAUCUCUUGGCUCU
This 268-nucleotide unclassified non-coding RNA is filed under the name rhizosphere metagenome. Its description in RNAcentral is "partial ribosomal RNA internal transcribed spacer region". The record is from RNAcentral.